AGAGUUUGAUCAUGGCUCAGAUUGAACGCUGGCGGCAGGCCUAACACAUGCAAGUCGAACGGUAACAGGAAGCAGCUUGCUGCUUUGCUGACGAGUGGCGGACGGGUGAGUAAUGUCUGGGAAACUGCCUGAUGGAGGGGGAUAACUACUGGAAACGGUAGCUAAUACCGCAUAACGUCGCAAGACCAAAGAGGGGGACCUUAGGGCCUCUUGCCAUCGGAUGUGCCCAGAUGGGAUUAGCUAGUAGGUGGGGUAACGGCUCACCUAGGCGACGAUCCCUAGCUGGUCUGAGAGGAUGACCAGCCACACUGGAACUGAGACACGGUCCAGACUCCUACGGGAGGCAGCAGUGGGGAAUAUUGCACAAUGGGCGCAAGCCUGAUGCAGCCAUGCCGCGUGUAUGAAGAAGGCCUUCGGGUUGUAAAGUACUUUCAGCGGGGAGGAAGGGAGUAAAGUUAAUACCUUUGCUCAUUGACGUUACCCGCAGAAGAAGCACCGGCUAACUCCGUGCCAGCAGCCGCGGUAAUACGGAGGGUGCAAGCGUUAAUCGGAAUUACUGGGCGUAAAGCGCACGCAGGCGGUUUGUUAAGUCAGAUGUGAAAUCCCCGGGCUCAACCUGGGAACUGCAUCUGAUACUGGCAAGCUUGAGUCUCGUAGAGGGGGGUAGAAUUCCAGGUGUAGCGGUGAAAUGCGUAGAGAUCUGGAGGAAUACCGGUGGCGAAGGCGGCCCCCUGGACGAAGACUGACGCUCAGGUGCGAAAGCGUGGGGAGCAAACAGGAUUAGAUACCCUGGUAGUCCACGCCGUAAACGAUGUCGACUUGGAGGUUGUGCCCUUGAGGCGUGGCUUCCGGAGCUAACGCGUUAAGUCGACCGCCUGGGGAGUACGGCCGCAAGGUUAAAACUCAAAUGAAUUGACGGGGGCCCGCACAAGCGGUGGAGCAUGUGGUUUAAUUCGAUGCAACGCGAAGAACCUUACCUGGUCUUGACAUCCACGGAAGUUUUCAGAGAUGAGAAUGUGCCUUCGGGAACCGUGAGACAGGUGCUGCAUGGCUGUCGUCAGCUCGUGUUGUGAAAUGUUGGGUUAAGUCCCGCAACGAGCGCAACCCUUAUCCUUUGUUGCCAGCGGUCCGGCCGGGAACUCAAAGGAGACUGCCAGUGAUAAACUGGAGGAAGGUGGGGAUGACGUCAAGUCAUCAUGGCCCUUACGACCAGGGCUACACACGUGCUACAAUGGCGCAUACAAAGAGAAGCGACCUCGCGAGAGCAAGCGACUACCUCAUAAAGUGCGUCGUAGUCCGGAUUGGAGUCUGCAACUCGACUCCAUGAAGUCGGAAUCGCUAGUAAUCGUGGAUCAGAAUGCCACGGUGAAUACGUUCCCGGGCCUUGUACACACCGCCCGUCACACCAUGGGAGUGGGUUGCAAAAGAAGUAGGUAGCUUAACCUUCGGGAGGGCGCUUACCACUUUGUGAUUCAUGACUGGGGUGAAGUCGUAACAAGGUAACCGUAGGGGAACCUGCGGUUG
RNAcentral lists this ribosomal RNA (1524 nucleotides) under Escherichia coli TOP382-3. Its description in RNAcentral is "bacterial SSU rRNA". It matches the Rfam family "Bacterial small subunit ribosomal RNA". The record is from RNAcentral. Lineage: Bacteria; Pseudomonadati; Pseudomonadota; Gammaproteobacteria; Enterobacterales; Enterobacteriaceae.